RNAcentral lists this ribosomal RNA (496 nucleotides) under uncultured bacterium. RNAcentral's name for it is "partial 16S ribosomal RNA". It matches the Rfam family "Bacterial small subunit ribosomal RNA", at positions 30 to 523 of the family's 1533-position model. The record is from RNAcentral.
AUUGAACGCUGGCGGAAUGCUUUACACAUGCAAGUCGAACGGUAGAGGGGGCAACCCCUCGAGAGUGGCGAACGGGUGAGUAAUAUAUCGGAACGUGCCCAGUCGUGGGGGAUAACGUAGCGAAAGUUACGCUAAUACCGCAUACGAUCUAAGGAUGAAAGCGGGGGAUCGCAAGACCUCGCGCGAUUGGAGCGGCCGAUAUCAGAUUAGGCAGUUGGUGGGGUAAAGGCUCACCAAGCCAACGAUCUGUAGCUGGUCUGAGAGGACGACCAGCCACAUUGGAACUGAGACACGGUCCAGACUCCUACGGGAGGCAGCAGUGGGGAAUUUUGGACAAUGGACGCAAGUCUGAUCCAGCCAUUCCGCGUGCAGGAUGAAGGCCCUCGGGUUGUAAACUGCUUUUGUACGGAACGAAAAGGUCUCUCUUAAUACGGGGGACUCAUGACGGUACCGUAAGAAUAAGCACCGGCUAACUACGUGCCAGCAGCAGCCGCGG